AGAAAUGAGGGGUGCAUGGAGAGUGCUAAAGUGACUAGAUUUACAGUACUUGAACUUCUUCCGUACGCCAGUGAUAGACCCGUUUACUAACCCGAAUUUGCCACCAUGUCCACCGGAGUUCUCCCCGUCGAUUUACUCGAGGAGAUCUUCAGCAAGCUUCCAGUGAAGUCCCUAAUCUCCCUCACCAUCAUCUGCAAAUCCUGGCUCGCACUAAUCUCAUCACAAUCUUUUGCAAAAACCCAUCUUUUCAAGUACCCUCUUGACCCCUCUUCUCAUUUGCUUCUUCUCCACCGCCCCUGUCGCGAAACAAUCACCAUUUCCGAGCUCAAUUUCUCGGGAUUGCCAAGAAUUGUGGAAACCCCAAUUCCAGAAUCUGAACCCCCGCCGAUUCAAGCCCCGUCGACUCCGGUGGUCUCGAUCUGUUGUGCGAGAAAUGUUCAAGUUCGUCAAGAAGUUAGGAGCUGUUUGUUGAGAUUGGUGGGCUCGAUUAAUGGGUUGGUGUGUUUUUCUACGCCUACUCUUAGGCCUACUAAUGUUGUGAUUUGGAACCCUGCUACUCGGAGAUUUAGGGAUGUGGCGGUGUCGCAUUUGAAUUAUAGUAACCCUUUGAGGAUUUAUGUGGCUUUUGGGUAUGAUGGUGUUGGUGAUGAUUAUAAGGUGGUCUGUGUUUAUCGGUUUCGGGUUAGGAAUAAUCCGGAGAUGUCGUUUAGGUUUAGGAUGUUUUCGUGUAGGGAUGGUUGUUGGAAGGAUGUAGAGCCGGGGUUCGGGUUUAGUUUGGGGUUUAUAGUGGGGUGUGUGAUCGUAAAGGGGAAUCCUUUUUGGAUGGGGUUUUACAAGGAUAAAGAGAUUUGGCUGACGCUUGAUGUUCAAACUGAGGUGAUCCGGAUGUUUUCUGGGCCGAAGUAUGUAAGGGGUGCAUCUACUUCGAUCUCAAUUAUGGCUUUAGGUGAUAAUGCUGCUCAGAUUGUGUAUUCACCCGGAAUUGAAUCAAGUCAUAUGAUUCAUGUGUAUUGUUUGGAAGAAAGUAGUGGUACGUGGAAUUUGAUGUACGCCAUAGAGUCGAUUGGGUUACAGAGGCCUGUACACAUGGAAUGCUAUAAGAAUGGCAAGGUUGUUACAAAGGAUAGGAACGGCAAGUUGUUCACGUAUGACUUGAUAAGUAAAGAAAUUAAGGAUCUUGGGGUUGGAGAAGGCAUGGAGGAUCAUUACAUCGCCAUUAAUUACAUCGAAAGUCUUGUUUCCAUCGAAAGUAUGGAGAAAGUAAGAGAAGAAGCUGCUGAAGAAGCAGGGCAGGAGACUGGACUUGCUUCAAAUGAUAGGUAUCCCGACUUCUCUUAGGAUGCUUCGGAUGCUAUGAUGUCAGUAAGGAUAGAUGAAUCUCUUAAAGAUGUAUGAGAAUCAAGGUUACUGUUGCGGGUUGUUGGCUUUCAAUUGAACUGAAGAAGUAUACAAGCAUGGAGGGACUGAAAUGCUGUUUCAUGUACAAUAGACUAUUGUUGUAUAAUCUUGAAAAAAUUGUAUUAUGUAUUACUAGCUGUUUUCUGUAUCAGAGACCUCAGCAAGUCUGUUGUGUUUCUAUUUUUUUUGACUUUAAAAUACAAAUUGUGUUGUCUGAUACUAUCUGAGCUUGAUCUUGAUUUAUGUUUACUUGGUUCUGGUUGGGUUCGAAACA
RNA transcript from Daucus carota subsp. sativus, 1672 nucleotides. It is a transcript of the gene named F-box protein CPR1-like, with no coding region annotated. The record is from RefSeq and is a predicted model, not a curated record. The transcript has 3 exons. Lineage: Eukaryota; Viridiplantae; Streptophyta; Magnoliopsida; Apiales; Apiaceae.